RNAcentral lists this unclassified non-coding RNA (250 nucleotides) under plant metagenome. RNAcentral's name for it is "partial contains small subunit ribosomal RNA, internal transcribed spacer 1, and 5.8S ribosomal RNA". The record is from RNAcentral.
GUAGGUGAACCUGCGGAAGGAUCAUUAACACAAUACUUUCAUAUCAACCUUGGAGCAUCUGUCUGAACCUUUGUAUUGCAAACGCUGGUUAGGUAAUGGUUGGAUUUUCGAAUUCGGCCUUCCCAGCUAAUUACUCCUCGAGGUAAUAGUUUGACUCUCUUAGGUAUUACAGCCUCAACCAUGGCUGGCCCUUUUUUUUUAUAAAACUACUUGACAUUUUUACUGAUUUGGGCUUCGGAUCGAGAGGAGC